UUUUUUUUUUUUUUUUUGUGCAAACGUACUUAGGCUUUAGUUAGUUUCCUAUUUACAUGGCUCUUUAUGAAACUGUUUUCUUUUAUUCUUUAUAUUCCUAACCUUUUAUUGUUUUUUUUUUUUUAACUCAACCUUUUAUUGUUAUUUUCUUCAAUUCUGUAUUGUAACUGUUUUGUAUAUUAAAAAAAAAAAAAAUUCCACUACUCAAUCUACUUUUUAAACAACCCACUGUCUCUGUAACUCAAAUAAAAUUAUAAAUAAAAUUAAAGAAAAUUUUCGUGUAGUAUAAAUCAAAUCUUUUGUCAAAAUUCUUUCCCAAAAUCGAGAGAAAAAAAAAAGGCUGGAGUCACAAGAACAUAAAACUCUUCUCUAAGUCCAUAGAAGUUCUUCUUUGAACGACGCCAACUAUAAACCUUUUGGUGAAUCAAGUUAUGUCCAAAACAGUCGCUCACUUAAUCUUCUAAAAUCUUUGAAGGCAAAUAUUCUCUUAUGACUUAUUUUUUCAUGUUAUUUUCGUUUAUCACCAAGACAUAAAGAAAGGAAAAAGAAAGGAACAAAAGCAAAAUGUGUUUCAUAGAACACUUCAAUAUGAGCGCUCAAUCAUGAUCGAAGUUCAGAUCAGUUUUUUUUUUGUUUUUUUUUUUUUGUAAAAUAGCUGAUGAGUCUGUAUUGAUAGGGUUAUAUAUAUUUAUGAAUCGUUUUCAUUUUUGUAAAUGCCGAUUUUUUUUAAUGAUUAUUAGUAAAAAAAUCUAACAAGAUUUUCAUAGAUAAUAUUGAAAACGAUUAUUCCUAUAUAUUAUCAUGAAAGAAAAUGAUUCUUAUACCAAAAAAAUAUAAUUAAUAAAAUAGUAAUUGUGGAAAAUAUUUAAGAUUAUUAUUUGAAAAUUAUAGAAAUAUUAACAUCAUUUUUAACCGAAAUAAAUAUUAAUAUCACUUAAAUAAACUAAUGUCAAAGUUAACAUCUUUUUUUGCAAAUGAUACAUAUUGACAUCGAUUACAAUAAUCGAUGUAAAUAUUUUGGAUAUUAAAUAAAUAAGGAAAGAAAAGUUAUAUAUUAUUAGUUAUUUAUUAUAUAUUUUUUUUGAAUUGAUUUGGAUUAGUUUGAAAGAUGAUUUUUUUUUUGGAUAAAUUUCUUUUUUUCUAAAUUGCUAAAAUAUUUAAAACGAAUUUCUUAUAAUUUUUUUAUUUAAUUUCGUUUUAAGAGAUAAUAUUUUAUCAUGAGAUUUUUAUGAAAACAAAAUUCAUUAAAUUAAAUUUAGAAAUUAGCUACAAACAAAACAAUAUAAGGAGUCUUGUAGCUAAUUAAUAAGUUUUGUAGAUAAUUAUAAAAACAUUAUUAAGAUAUAUACAAAAUCUUAAUAUUGUUUUUAUAUAUCUUUUUUUUUUAAUAUAAUUAAAAACAAAACAAGUAUACGAUUUUGAUAGAAUGUCCCUAGAAUAUAUCUCCCUAUAUAUUGAUGGUUUUACCCUCUCCACAUAUCCAUUCGACAUUGAAACAUCUCACCAUCGUCGAGGUAAAAUUUUUUUUAUAUGUGCUCUGUUAGUAUCGACAUCUCACCUUCGUUGGGUUCAAUUCUCCUUCCUAUAUUCUAUCAUAUAUAACCAAUAUAUACACCAAUCUCUCUUCAUCAUUUACAAUCAUUAAUCUCUUUUCGUCAUUUAUAAUCAUAGCACUAACAACAACAAAAAAAACGCUUUGAUCUCAGUUCAACCUUAAUCCUUGAGAACCAUAAAGAUGACGAUGGAGUACUACAAAGAAGACGAAGGGAUUCAUUUUGAUCCAACGUACGAAGAAGUCAUCCACAAGUAUCUUAAACCGAAGCUAAGAGGUGAAGACUGUGGAGACUUCAUAUUGAUGAAGGAUGUUUAUGCCAAGGAGCCAUGGCUGCUGGACCAUCCCAACAAUUCUUUUUUCAAGGAAGACGAAUGGUACUACUUCUCAACAAGGAAUCAGAUCUCCGAGAAGAAGAUUGGUCGUGGUAAGUACCCGAAGCGGAAGAUAGGCAACAACGACGGCAUCGACCGCGGGAACUGGAGGAUAAAUGCGAAAGAAGAUAUCAUUGACAAGGAUACAGGGGAUAUCAUUGGGAUCAAGAAAAACCUAACUUAUAAGGCACCAACACGAACAAGAAGCAGAAGAGAGGAGACGGUGCUUCUGCUCCAAGCAGCGAAAGCGGCUGGAUUAUGGACGAAUUUGUAAUUGUGUUACCGAAACCGGACGAAGAUAAGUUUCAGGAGCUAGUCGUCUGCAAGAUUCACAAGAAAAAGGAGUCCAAGAAGGACCAUCAACAUGAAGCUUCUUCUUCCUCAGAGCAGCAGCCGAUCAAGAAAAGGAAGUCCAAGAAGUCCAAGAAGGAGCAUGAGUCUGUUCUAGCUGCGUCUUCCGAGCAGCAGCAACCAUUAUUAUGCGGUUGUAAUGAAUCAGAGAUUCCGAAGAUAGCAUCAUCUCCUUGUUCUGCUGCGGAAACAGAGAGAAACGGGGAGCAGAGUGGAGAAGGAAACAUGGUUCACCAAACAGAGAAGAAUGCCAUGGAGAUGACACGGGAAGAAGAAGGAGAUUGGAUUGCCGAUAAUGAUAUAUUUGUAAACCGCCAAUAUCGUGAUCAACCAUACUCUUGGAUUUGAGAAUCAGUAGACAAGCCGAUGAAUCAGUAUGAAGCUCUCUACUUCACGAAAACCGUUCAACAUUCUUGAAGAGAAGAUUUUAGAUAUCGUAGUUAACUCUUCUUUUAUUUAUAAUUGUGUCGUGAGAUGAUGACUCUGCUACAGUCAAUUUGUUUAGUAAAUUUAAUGUUACGCUUUGUUUAGAAACUUUCAUGAAUAAAUCAUACCAUUCUUUUUUUUUUUUGGUUUGAUAACUGAUUGUGCAUUGAAAUGUAAAAGAGACAAGUACAGGAAGUAGAGAGGAAGCCAAGUAUACACGUAAACAUUGUAUAAGGAUAUCUUUGAAGAAGUAGGAGAGAGCUAGUGAAGAAUGUCACUGAAGCUUGGGAUAAAUAUGUUCACCGUGAAGAAUGUCACCGAAGAAUUCUUCACAUUAAAACCAAAAAAAUGUCACCGAAGAAUCUUGGGAAAUAUGUUCCCAGUACGAAGUCUGCAUCUAUUGCCCACAAACUUUGACUAUUCCACUUCCCUCAAAAACCUACAAUAUAAGGACAACCAUCUGAAUAAACCUAUUUACUUGAAAGUGCUAUAGUUUCAAACAUUUCUUUCUGAAUUUCUCCGCCUUUUGUACCAUACUGUAUAUAUUGUGUCUAUCCAUUGAAAAAGGUAAGCAUUUGCUGAAUUUUACGUAUUCAAACCGCAACUGAUCCGCACAGAACUCACUUGUAAUUGUUACAAGUAGAGCUUUCCUGUCUUGUGGUGUUCUUGUUAAUGUUUAAUGACUGAAAAGUCUGAAAUAAAUACAUUUCUUCUGCUUUUGCUACCGUUGAGAAUCUAUGCUCUUUGUGCCAAGUCAAACUAUUGCAUCUUAUCGAAGAGAGGUAAUUGCAGAGCAGAGUAGGUCAGAGAAGUUACAUGGUCAUCUGCAGGAGACUUCGACUUAAACAAAGAAGAAAAAGAAGCAAGCUAAUUCAUUAUUUACUUAUAUAUACAGUUAUACACAUAAUUUAAAACAGUGCCCUCUCAUCAUCAUUGAGCAAGUCAAAGAAGUUAAAACUACAUGCAACUAGCAUUUCUUGAUUUAUAAUAUGUUUUAUAAAAACUUUUUCAAACUACUAUUCCAAAGCUGAGAAAAAAGAGAUAUGUGCACGUAUGUAAAAUAACCUAGUUUAAAGAUAGAAUUUCCAAACUGAAAACAUUUGACCCUGACUAAUUAAAACCUCAUUUAACCACAGCUUCUCAUAAUGUCAAUAUAUGAAAGUCAGCUUAGUUACGUUUUUGAGUAGAUUUCAUUACUGCAUUUGCCACAAACAUGGUAGAUAUACUCAUUGAAGGUGAUUAGGUGAAAACAAAUCAGAUUACAGCUUAAACCUUCUGUCUCAUGUAUAUUCCAUCAGCUAGACAGUAACAAGCAAAGAUGCAGAACAAUAAAAGCACAGAGCAUUGUAACCAAAACUUGACUUGAUGAUAAGACUACCAAAGUAAUUAACCCACAAAACUGUAAGAAAUAAUGAUGACAUAGGCACUCAUCUAUUACCAAUUCAAUAGGAAAGAAUCUUUAUUGGCUUUUCUUUGAUAGUGUCUUCCAUGUAAAGGUCAACUCAGGGUAAUCAGUAGUUGGAAAACAUAAUUCUCAUGGAAAAGAAAAAAAUAGUGCAGAAGAAUCUGAGAUUCACAACAAGCUAAGGCGGGAGAGACGAUCAUUGUUAUUCCAGAUGGCUGGGGUUCUAGAAUCUUUUUUCUGGAUAAUAAUUUGUAUCCAUGUGGUGUCUUUGGUGCUAGCUCAGGAUAGGGAUCAGUUUCUGCACUACAACUUCAGUCAAGCAGACCUGCAUCUUGACGGCAUGGCAAAUAUCGAUGAUGGCCGAUUGCAUCUUACAAAUAAUACAACUAAGAGCACUGGUCAUGCGUUCAACAAAACCCCUAUGCAGUUCACAGCGUCAUCUUCCUUUUCAACAGAAUUUGUCUUUGCAAUGUUGCCAUUGCAAGGCGACGGUCAAGGAAUGGCUUUCGUAGUAUCUCCUACCAAAGACCUCAGGUAUGCCGGCGCUGCAACUUCAGAUUUAGGGAUUUUCAAUAAAACAAAUGAUAACAAAACUGAAAACCAUAUUCUUGCUAUAGAGCUUGACACUAAUGAUAGCUCUGAGUCAUUUGACAAAAGCGGUAACCAUGUGGGGAUUGAUAUAAACAGUAUAGUCUCAGUUGAAUAUGCGAACGCUAGUUACUUUAAUGAUACUCAGGGAAAGAAUAUAACUCUGUCGCUUGCUAGUGGUAAAAGUAUUCUGAUCUGGAUAGAUUAUGAUGGAAUAAAGAAACUACUCAAUGUAACGUUAGCUCCAGUACCAACUCCAAAGCCAGUUUCGCCUCUCUUUUCAAGAUCCAUCAAACCAAGGGUGCCACUCUUGUCAAGAUCCAUCAAUCUUUCAGAAAUUUUCAAUGAGACAAUGUAUGUAGGUUUCUCAGGAUCUACAGGCACAGUCAAAAGUGACCAAUAUAUCCUUGGAUGGAGUUUCAAGAAAGGUGGACAAGCAGAAAGCCUUGACAUCUCAAAGAUUUUGGAUCCACCUAAUCGACCUCCACCACCCCUUCCGCCAACCUCGAGGUCUAAAGACUCUAAGAAUAUUAUAAUCAUAAGCGUUACUGUAACAUCAAUUGCUUUUCUGUUGAUCUUGGGAGGAAUUUUGUAUUUUUACAAAAACAAGAAGUAUGCGGAGGUGCUUGAACAAUGGGAAAAUGAAUAUAGUCCCCAAAGGUUCUCCUUUAAGAACCUCUACAAAGCAACAAGGGGUUUCAGGGAGAAUCGGCUACUUGGGGCAGGAGGUUUUGGAAAAGUCUAUAAAGGAGAACUUCCUUCAGGUACACAAAUUGCGGUUAAGAGAGUCUAUCAUGAUGCAGAACAAGGAAUGACACAGUAUGUCGCAGAGAUCGCUAGUAUGGGAAGGCUAAGGCACAAGAACUUGGUGCAGCUUCUUGGUUACUGCAGAAGGAAAGGUGAAUUGCUUUUGGUCUAUGACUACAUGCCAAACGGAAGCCUUGAUGACUACUUGUUCAAUAGAAACAAGCUCAAGGACCUCAGUUGGUCUCAGAGACUGAAUAUAAUCAAGGGAGUAGCCUCUGCCCUUCUGUAUCUUCAUGAAGAAUGGGAACAAGUUGUACUACAUCGAGAUAUAAAAGCUAGCAACAUUCUUUUAGAUGCGGAUCUAAAUGGAAGGUUGGGAGAUUUCGGGCUUGCAAGAUUCCACGAUCGUGGCGAGAAUCUUCAAGCAACGCGUGUGGUAGGAACCAUUGGCUACAUGGCACCAGAGCUUACAGCAAUGGGAGUGGCCACUACUAAAACUGAUGUCUAUGCUUUUGGAUCUUUCAUCCUUGAGGUGGUUUGCGGGAGAAGGCCAGUAGAACCUGAUAGACCACCUGAGCAGAUGCUUUUACUUAAGUGGGUUGCCACUUGUGGGAGAAGAGAUACUUUGAUGGAUAUUGUUGACAGUAAACUAGGAGACUUUAAAGCUGAGGAAGCCAAGCUGCUUCUAAAGCUAGGUAUGCUUUGUUCACAGAGUAACCCGGAAAGUAGACCUAGUAUGAGGGACGUAAUAAAAUAUCUGGAAGGAAAUGCCACUAUUCCAAGCAUAUCAUUUGAUACAGCUGGAUUUGGUAUGCCCAAUAUAAGCAAUGAAACGAUAACACAAAUGACAACCACCUCCUCAUCAGCCAAUUUCUCUUUUGAAGAUGUUACAAUCCUAUUUGGCGGUCGUUGAAGUCUGCAUCACAAGCUGCUAAACUUACAAGAAAGCUAUUUGUUAUUGCUACAAUGUUGUGUCUUUCAAGUGAAUGAUUGUAUAUGGAAUUUUCUUUCUUUUUAUGCUAAAACCAUUGUGCCUUUUGAUGUAAAUGAUUGUAUCGUGAUGUGUUGUUGUUCGCAAACUGUGCAAGCGUACUGACAUGUCUACUGUUCCAAUAUAGCUACUCGAAAAUGUGAACAGCAAUAUGACAGAAGCCCAGGUUUGAACCCAGACACCACUUGUGUCCAAGAUCACUUGGCUAAAUAUGUUCACAAUACAAAGUUGCAUCUGGUUCUCACAAAAAUUAAAUAUUCCACCUUCCUCACACAUAUAUAUAUAUACACAUAAUUUAAAACAAUGCCAUCAUCAAUGAGAAAGUCAAAGAUGUUAAACUACAUGCCACUAGCAUUUCUUGAUUUAGAAUAUGUUUUAAUAAUAACGUGUUCUAACCACUAUCCUAUUUCUGAGAAUAAGAGACAUUUGCACGUAUGUAGGAUAACCUAAUUUAACAUAGAAUAUCCAAAAUGAAAACAUAUGACCCUGACUAGUUCAAACUUCAUUUAACCAUGCUUUGUCAUAUAUAUCAACAUAUGAAACUCAACUUAGUGUUUAAGGAAAUAAGUGCAGAUUUAUUUACUUCAUCUUGCCACAAACAUCGGUAUAUAUAUAUAUAUACUCAUUCUAGUGAAAACAAAUCAGUCAAAGCUGAAACAUUCUGUCUCGUGUAUAUAUUACAUCAGCUAGAAAGUAACAAGCAAAGAUGCAGAAAAAUAAAAGCCAUAGAAUUGUACCCAUGACUUGUUGUCUUGAGGAUAAGAAGACUACCAAAGUAAUUAACCCACAAAACUGUAAGAAACAUCUACAUGAUGACAUAGGCACUGAUCUAUUACCAAUUCAAAAUGAAAGAAACUUUCUUGCCUUUUCUUUGAUAGUGUCUUCCAAAUGUCAACUCAGGGUUUUCUGCAGUCAAAAAACACAAUUCUCAUGGAAAUGAAAAAAAGGUGCAGAAGAAUCUGAGAUUUACAAGCUAAGGUGGGAGAGAAGAUCAUCCUUGUUCCUGAUGGCUGGAGUUCUAGGAUCAGUGGGUUUCUGGAUGAUUAUUGGUAUCCAUGUAACCUUUUUGGUGUUCGCUCAAGAGGGAGAUCAAUUUUUGUACUAUAACUUCAAGAAUGCAAACCUGAAACUUGAUGGAAUGGCAAAUACCAACGAUGGUCCAUUGCAUCUAACAAAUAAUACAAACACAAGCACCGGUCACGCUUUCUACAAUAUUCCCAUCAAGUUCCCAGCGUCUUCCCUCAGUUCAUUUUCCUUUUCAACAGAAUUUGUCUUUGCAAUCUUCCCACUGCAAACCUAUGCCUACGGUCACGGCAUGGCUUUUGUGGUAUCUCCUACCAAAGACCUCGGGUCAAACGGUACUGAAAAUUCAUAUUUAGGGCUUUUCAACAAAACAAAUGAUAACAACACUACAAACCAUAUCUUUGCUGUAGAACUUGACACUCAUAAAAGCCCUGAGCAAUCAGACAAAAGCGAUAACCAAGUGGGUAUUGAUAUUUACACUACAGACUCAUUUAAAUCUGCAGAGGCUAGUUACUUUAAUGCUACAGAAGGAAAGAACGAAAGCCUGCUGCUUGCUAGUGGAAAAAGUAUUCUGAUCUGGAUAGAUUAUGAUGGAAUAGAGCAAUUACUAAAUGUAACGUUAGCUCCAGUACCAACUUCAAAGCCAGUUUCGCCUCUCUUUUCAAGUUCCAUCAAACCAAGGGUGCCACUCUUGUCAACAUCCAUCAAUCUUUCAGAAAUUUUCAAUGAGACGAUGUAUGUAGGUUUUUCUGGUUCUACAGGUACAAUCAAAAGUAACCAGUAUAUCCUAGGGUGGAGUUUCAAGAAAGGCGGAGAACCGAAAAGCCUUGACAUUUCAAGAAUUUCGGAUCCUCCACCACCAUCUUCUCCGCCACCAACCUCUCCACCACAAUCUUCUCCACCACCACCCUCUCCUCCACCAUCUUCUCUAUCAAGACUGCCAUUAGUGAUUCUAGGCACUAUUAUUAUUAUACCAACAAUUGUUUUUUUUCUAAUAAUAUUGGGAGGAAUUUUGUAUCUGUACAAGAAAAAGAAGUAUGCGGAGGUGCUUGAACAAUGGGAAAAGGAAUAUAGUCCCCAAAGGUACUCCUUUAGGAACCUGUACAAAGCAACCAAAGGUUUCAGGGAGAAUCAGCUGCUUGGAGCAGGAGGGUUUGGAAAAGUCUAUAAAGGAAUACUUCCCAGUGGUACACAAAUCGCAGUUAAGAAAGUCUACCAUGAUGCAGAACAAGGAAUGAAACAGUAUGUGGCAGAGAUAGCUAGUAUGGGAAGGCUAAGGCACAAAAACUUGGUGCAGCUCCUUGGUUACUGCAGAAGGAAAGGUGAAUUGCUCUUGGUCUAUGAUUACAUGCCAAAUGGAAGCCUUGAUGACUACUUGUUCAAUAAAAACAAGCUGAAAGACCUCACUUGGUCACAGAGAGUAAAUAUAAUCAAGGGAGUUGCAUCUGCCCUUCUAUAUCUGCAUGAAGAGUGGGAACAAGUUGUGUUACAUAGAGAUAUAAAAGCCAGCAACAUUCUUUUAGAUGCCGAUCUAAAUGGAAAGUUGGGAGACUUUGGGUUAGCCAGAUUCCACGAUCGUGGUGUCAAUCUUGAAGCCACACGAGUGGUAGGAACCAUUGGUUACAUGGCACCAGAGCUUACUGCAAUGGGAGUAACCACUACUUGGACCGAUGUCUAUGCUUUUGGAGCUUUCAUCCUUGAAGUUGUAUGUGGGAGGAGGCCAGUAGACCCUGAUGCACCACGUGAGCAAAUGAUUUUGGUUAAGUGGGUUGCGAGUUGCGGGAGAAGAGAUGCUUUAACUGAUACUGUUGACAGCAAACUAAUAGGCUAUGAAGUUGGGGAGGUCAAGCUGCUUUUGAAGCUAGGGAUGCUCUGUUCACAAAGUAACCCAGAAAACAGACCCAGUAUGAGACAGAUAUUACAAUAUCUGGAAGGAAAUGUAAGUGUUCCAGCUAUAUCAUUUGAUACUGUUGCACUUGGUAUACCCAAUAUAAGCCAUGAAACAGUAACACAGAUGACAACAACCUCUUCAUCAGCUAAUUUCUCAUUUGAGGAUGUUACAGUCCUAUUUGGUGGUCGCUAGAGCAUGCAACACAAGCUGCUUUAACUACAAGAAAGUACUUUCUACUAUAUUUAAGUGUGUUUUGGUGUGAAUGAUUGUGUUUUAGUGUGAAUGAUUGCCUAUAUGAUGGGAUGUUUGCAAAUCUAUUGCUGCAGUAAACUACUUUCUUUUGUAUAUAAUUUCAGGGAAAUUGGCUAUAAAAACACAUUUCUUUAUAUUCCCUUGAUGCCAUAUGAACCCUAACGACUUAUUGUUUAACCAAGAAAAUUUCACUUCAGUUGGUCUUAAAAGUUUAACAUCAUAAAGGGGUUGGCUAGGUGUGUCAAACUAGAUUGGAAGGAUUCUAUCUAUGAAUAUGAUACUGAAGCUUGGGCUACUCUGUUUGCGGUAGAAGCCAGAGGACAUACCUUAUCUUGAAGGAAAUGAUAAUAUAUUUCCUGAAAGACUGCAUCUAGUUACCCCCACAUGCUUUCCCCAAGAACCUACAAAAUCAGCAAAAACAUUGACAUAAACCUUACCUGGAUAUUAGUGGAAGAAUGCAUACAUACAUACAUACAUACAUAGGUCGAAGAACAGAAGGUAUGUGCUUAUGUUACCAAAUCAACUCUUCAUUCCUAUGCUUGGUCCACCUAUUCAGGCAGGUUAAUCUGAGCAGAAGGAUGUUUUAUCAUUUUUCAUUAAUCAAAUAAAACAGACCAUAGAUGGAGUAACUUAGAACAGAGAGAGGGAAAUGCCGACAUAAGCUUGGGGAAAACCUUAAUGCUUACCUCCCGGUUUUUGUCGUUUGCAUCCCCAACCAAAAAUAUCUAAUUACUGCUCGAAUAAUCAUGAAAAGGUAUGGUUUUCCCAUAGAGUAUGAAAUAUGUUAUGUUACAAAGAGAAUAGUUAAAUCAAUAUACAUGAAUUUCACCAGAAUUAACUAUAACAAACAUGUUUUUUCAACAUUUCACUUCAAAAUUUUUGAUUCAAUUUCUUCCAAGCUGAGACCCUUGGUUUCUGGAACUACUAGUAUCACAAACAGCAGUGAUACUAGUGCUAUGCCCCCAAAGAGAAGGAAAAGAUUCUCGGCUCCAAGAAAUUCCUACAGAGAAUGCAUAUUUUGAUAGUGUUAGUAAUAACUUCAAGGGAAUUUGAACCAGUGGGAACGGAAAAAAAUACCUUUAAGGGUGAAAAUGCAAAGGUCACAAUAGCAUUGGAGCCAAAGUUUGUAAGAACAGCAAGACUGAUCCCUCUCCCUCUUGUGCGAAGCGGGAAAAUCUCUGACACCAUUAGCCAGCUGAUGGGUCCAAAUGAGAUCUGGUUCGUAGGAAAUAAAAACAGAGAGGGAAAUACUUUUUAGUGAAUAUUGCUAAGACUUUAGUGAUAAAACUAUGUAGCUACAGCUAACAGUGAGCUACAGUACAAACCUGGUAACAACCAACAUAGAGAAGCAGUGCACCAACGGCGACAAGGGGAAAGCCUCCGAGAAACUUGUAGUAUGCUGACAGUAGAAACAAGGACAACGCCUGGAAUUUGGAAGAAAUAUAAGAAAUGAUAUUUUUAUAUGCAAAACAAGAAACAGAAGAUAUAGACAUAAAAAUGGAUUCAUACAAUGCCGCUGACACCUCCAAUCAGUAAAGGUCGUCUGCCGAGAUCAUCAACUUUCGCAACAGCUACCCAUGUCAUCAGUAACUUCGUUGAGCGUUAUCAAUUGAAGAGGUCAGUAUUGAAUAACUAGAAGCUUGGUAGCAAAUAAGAUAUUUACACAUCCUAAAAGAAAAGAAAUGAGCACCUUGAAAACACCAAUAAUAACAGAGACUCGAGUUGCAUCAGCAGCAGCAGAGAAUCCAGCAGUCUUUGAAUAGAUAAGCGAGCAUAAAGCCUCAUUAAACAUCCGACUAAGGCAGUAAAAAUUAGUAGGUAAUCUCAUUCACUUCAAUGUUAAGGCAAGCAUACCUGAAGAAUCGAACCCGCAUAAUAAAGAACACUAGGCUGUCCAGUUAUCUGGCACAGCGAAGCAGAGUGUAAAUUAUUUCAAAAAUGCUCACACAUUCAUCCAAAUGGAAACAGCGAAGAAGAAUCACCUGUUGGAAGAGGACUAAACCUCCGCCAAUUGUCAAAGCUUUCAAAUUAGGCCCUUGGAAUACUUCCAGGAAGUUUCCCCCAGAUUUCUCAUCUUCAUAGGCCGUUUUCACAGAUAAAUAGGCAUCAUCUACUAACUUCUCCGAAAUUUUAUCACCUGGAGGUCUGCCACGUAAUUUGCUGAGGGCAAGCAUGGCCUUCUCUUUGUACUCUUGUAAUUGCCCUUUACCUUGGACAGCUCUAAGCAGCAACCAGCGAGGAGAUGCAGGGAGACUCCACAUGCCUAGUCCCAUCAGCAAAGCAACAGGCGUACCAAAUCCAUACAUGUAACGCCACCCUCCAACUACAUCAAUCUGGAAGCUUCCAACAGAAAAACCCAACUGCACAAGAAGGAAAUCAAGAUUAUUCAGUAAAAGUAUUACGCAGAAAUCAUACAGGGAAGAGAUUGACAUCGACAUUUACCAAAAUUCCCAAUACGAUGAAGAGUUCUUUCAGAGAUAUCAAAGUUCCACGGAUUUGAGAUGGGCAUGUCUCAGCAAUAUAGAGGGGAGCCCCAUGCAUUGCCUAUCAAGCAAAACCAAUUUACGUUAAACACUAAACAACAACAAAAGUAACAAAGAAAUUACCAUAAGGAUUCAGGGUUUCCAGGGCUCACCAAACCAAUACCAAAGCCAUAAAGAAGCCUUCCAACUAAGAGAAUAUUAAGAUCAGGGGCACAGCCAGUAAUCAGAGACCCGAGGAGAUAGAGAACAGCAGCUAUAAUAAGUUCCCGCCUUCUUCCUUCAUAAAGAUGGGAAGAAAACCAGAAUGAGACACUUGCAACCAGUUAAGAAGAACGAGACUCAAACAAAAAAACAAGACUUACCAAGGAAAUCAGCAACGCCAUAGACAGAAAUUGAGCCAAGAAGGGCUCCAUAUAAUGAUCCGCUAACCUACAUAAUAAAAUGCAGUAAAAACUAUCAUUUUCUGCUAACUCUACCGCUUAAAUAUAGAAAAAUAUCUCCAAGCAACAUACCACAAGUCCUAGCUGAACAGGUGAGAAGUUAAACCAUGUAGUUCCGCUAAGCACAGGUGACUGUUCAAGACCAUAUGAGACAGCACAUAAUGUUAAGUUUGGAGGCUAAUAUGUAAGUAGAUAAAAGCAGAGGAUUUAGAUAACCUGAAGUGAGAGCGUAGCACCGGAGGUGGCCCCAAUGUCAUACCCGAACAAUAGUCCUCCCAAAGCCGGGAAGAUAAACCUACGAUUCAAGUACAUUACUAUUAAAUCAUUGCAAUGCGAAGAUCAAUCUAGCCAAAGAAAUUCAUUAGGCAAGAUCAUUACAGAGGCAAUCCAAACACAUCACUCAGAAAAUUGACAAAUCUAGAACAGUUAAUUGAAAUAACGAGACGGAUCAAUACGUACGGGAGUAUCACGGAAGACCAAGAAAAUGACUCUAAUGCAUCAGAAGCAAUCGAAUCAGCUACUUCUCCACCGUCGGCUAACUCUCCUCCCGUCCCAGCUCCGACCUAACCAUGAACCAAAACCGGAAAAAAUCAAAACUUUUGAAACUUUUUUAGAAGAAAUCAAAAUCCAGAAAAUUGCUUCUCACCUGGAAUUUAGCUCUGUAUCUAGUAGUGACUAAACCCAGCUUGGAAACCAAGCAAGUACGUUCCUUUAAACUUAGGUAAGACGAGUCAGACCUCGAUUUAAAACACGAGCAGGAAGUACGCGGAGAUGGGUUCUUCUUGAACUGGUCUCGUUUUAAGUCUCUGAUUGCGAAAUGUGACUGAACCGAGACAGCGAAAGCCAUGAUCGGAUCGGAGUGAAACAACUGAGGAUUCUCCCGCUAAUUUUGGUCUAAAAUAUCUCUCAUCCUCUAGAGAUUUUGACUCUUUGAUAAUUAUUAUUUUUCAAAAUUGAUUCUUUCAUUAAUGUGUGGUUGUAUUUGAAGCAAGGACACGAUUGUAAAUUGACGUUUUAGGGUUUUUUGUUUGUGUUUGGGAGAGUAAACUAUUUAUACCUCUAUGUCUCUAUCAUUUUCUCUACCGCCAUUCUUAAACCUCUGAAGCUCGUGAGAACAAAAAGCUUGAAUCAAACGCUUUUGAAAUCAUGGGUAUUUUUUUUCAAUUCCGCUUCUUUCUCGUUCUAUUUCUUACAAAGAUGUAACUUUUAUAGCAUCAACGUUGAUUCUCUGUUUUGCAGGUAUCUCUCGUGAUUCAAUUCACAAGAGACGUGCCACUGGUGGUAAGCAGAAGAUGUGGAGAAAGAAGAGAAAGUAAGCUUUUUUUAUCUUCCACUGCUUCAAUUUUGAUAAUUUCCUCUGAAUUAGAGCUUAGAUUGGAAUCAAAAUGUAUCAUGAUCUUGUCUUGUUCUUUGAUUUUGGUUGAAGCAAAAUUGAUCACUGAAACUAACUUUGGUUAUCUGUUAUAAAGGUAUGAGCUUGGAAGACAACCAGCUAACACUAAGCUGUCAAGUAACAAGACAGUGAGGAGGAUCCGUGUGCGUGGUGGGAAUGUAAAGUGGAGAGCUUUGAGGCUCGAUACUGGAAACUUCUCGUGGGGAAGUGAAGCUGUGACCCGUAAGACUAGGAUCUUGGAUGUGGCUUACAAUGCAUCAAACAAUGAGCUUGUUCGUACACAAACUCUUGUGAAGAGUGCUAUUGUUCUAGUUGAUGCCGCUCCCUUUAAACAAGGGUAUCUCCAACACUAUGGAGUUGAUAUUGGUCGCAAGAAGAAAGCUGCUGCAGCCAAGAAAGAAGGAGAGGUGUGGUUUCUUUGAUGAUGAUUACUUGUUGACUGUACUUUUUUGAUAAACCGAUUCUGAUUUAUUUGUCUGUAUAGGAAGGAGAUGCAGUAACCACUGAGGAAGUAAAGAAGAGCAAUCAUAUUCAAAGGAAGCUGGAGAUGCGACAAGAAGGCCGAGCACUUGACUCGCACCUUGAAGAGCAGUUUAGCAGUGGAAGGUUGCUUGCAUGUAUCGCAUCAAGACCCGGACAAAGUGGCCGUGCUGAUGGGUAAAGAACAAAAUAUUUUGGUUUGAAAUCAUCACAUCUUGUUUUCUCUGAGUUAAUGCUGAUCCUUGUUGUGGUGUAAUUCGAAACAGGUACAUAUUGGAAGGAAAAGAGCUCGAAUUCUACAUGAAGAAACUUCAAAAAAAGAAGGGCAAGAAUGCUGGUGCUGCAUAAGAAACAAACACAUUUUUUAUUCUAGUAACUUAACGUUUUUGAUCUUGAUAGUUGAAAAGCCUUAUUUAUUCUUUUGUUGAGUUUAGAGUUUGCAUUGAGAGAUCUUCAUGUUUAUGGAUAUUGAUCAUUUAUAGUCAAAUUUCGCAAAUUCCAUUGAAUAAUCCCUUGGAAAGAGGUAUUAUUAUUGAAACAAAUCCAAAAUAUCUUCUGCAUAAUCAGAAGUGAGUAAAGCUAGUUGCAUCUUCUAGAAGUUGAAAUCUCCUGUGGCCUGCAUAAAAUAAGAGGAUGCGUGAGCCAAAGUGAAAUCUGAACAAUUUCUGUUAUUGUGAAGAAGUUUGUCUCAAACCUGUGAGAAAAGAACAUUUUUGCCGUUUAUCUGCAUAACUCCCGCAUUGAAUUUGCACUCCCACUUGUUCUUGCAACGCUUCACCUGCAAGUAGUUGGAAGUAUAAGUUUGAAGUUCAUCAUCAUUGUUAGUACUUUGUUCCAAUGAAAAACUAUAGUCAUUACCUUGUCAAAUUGACACAUGACCAAAUGUGGAAUGUUCGUAUCAUCAUCAUCCAUAUCAUCUUCCUCAUCAUCAUCGUCCUCGUUCAAAAGCUCUUCAUUCUCAUCUACAUCUUGACCAUUCACACAAGUGAGAAACCAGAACAGCAUUAAUAAAACUGUAGCAUUUUAUUCAAAUCUGAAAAUCACCAUUAGGAGCAUAAGUGACCAUAGCUUCAUCUCUAGCUCCAUCUUGCUGAGGAAUAUAAAAUUCGUCACACUCUUUCUUUAUGGACAUCUUCUCAGGUAAAGGAAUUGCAUCCCGCGGAGUCUGAAGAGUCGCCUGCAAUAUCGGAGGUGCGGAAAUCGCAACAGCAGAUGUUUCGAUUGUUCCGGUUAUGACUCCGGCUUGUAUCAUCUUCGUUUUCCACUUCUAUAGACACAUAAAGUUCUCAAUCAGUUUCAAAAAAUCCCCUGCAUCCUCCUAAAACCCUAAAUUACAAAGGAGAACUAACCGAUUGAAUCUGGCUAAGAACACUCUCUUCAAGUUCUCCAUUGUAGACGAGCUCGCAUCGAGACUUGUUGAUAACGUCAUCGAUGACAUAGUUGUAAGAGGUGCUAGUGUCGCUAGUCGAUAACACCAUCGUGAGACGAUUCAAAGAAAACCUACAAAGAGAAGCACAAAUAUUAAUCAAAAUCAGAUACAAUCUGGGGAUAAACAACAGCCAGCGAAAGCGUUCUAAAACCUAAUUGAGAGUAUAAAUACAAUUCACUCAAGGUGAUGUGAGUUUCGGGUUUUCUUUGAAACCCUAAUUGAGAGUUAUAAUUACCGUUCGCCGGAGAAAGUGAAUCAGAGCUUAAUUGGAAGAUUGGGAGAGACGACGAAGAAGAAGAAGAAAUCGUGAAGCGGGCUAUGCCAUAUAGGGAGGGGUAUUUAUAGAGGUUUAUAACCCGACCCGAAACUAAAUUAGUUCUUCCGGGUCCAAUUUCUCAACCCGAAAAAAGGAAAUAACACGCUGCUUAUUGACGAAAAUACCCUCUUUAAGCUUAAGUUAUUACGUGAGAAAGCCCUUUCCAAAUUCCAACACCGACUCAACAUAGGAUGCAAUCUCAGCCGUCCGUUUCAAUCUUAUUGUCAUUGGGUGUAAGUUGUUUUGGGCUGAGAUUAGCAAUGACUGGCCCAGUAAAAGUGUCAUGUGACAAAACUUGGACUUUGGGCCAAUACAAUAAAAAUUAGGGACGCAAUAAACAACGUCGUUUUAGGUUUUUCUAAAAUUUAGUCUUUUUCCUAACAUUAAAACUCCAAUACCAUGGGUUCAUCAACUUUUUUUUAUUAGGAUUUUGACUCAUAAUUUUCUCCAGUCGAGGACUAGCGUACAUAAAUUUAGUCUUUUUCCUAACAUUAUAACUCGACCUAGUAACCUUCAAACACAUUUCUUUAAUUUGGAAUUUUGGAUAGUUUUCCAGAAAAACAACUAGCUCUAAUUAAGACAGAGCAGUGUUUACCAGUUUAAGAUCAGGAGUCAGGACUGGAGUAAUAGAUACCACUACCAGGCAACUUUUUAAACAAACAACACUUACGAAAACUAUAAUAAUACUACAUUAUAAAUGAUUUAUAAGAAAUAUUUUACAAAAGUUUCUUAUCAAAAAAAAAUAUUUUACAAAAGUUAUCGUAGAUCGCUAGACCAAAUGCUUAUCACGACACGAAUCAUAUACUUUUGGGUUCUUAAGCAUAUAUAUAAAAUCUAGAAAAGUUUGAUUUGUAUAUAUCACCGAUAGACAUGUGUCGUUUGUGUCGUGACGGAAGGCAUGAGCGAUUAAACUUUUUGGUAGAGAAGAAAUUGGAAUUUUUCUGUUUUUUUGGUUUUUUGUCCCUUUAAUUACUCUUCUUUUUCCUAUUUUUCCCCAGACAGUCGUCAAUUCAAAUUAUAAAAUGUUUCUAAAUAGUUUUGCAAAAUGUCGGGUUUGAUAAACACGUGGUGAUCUAUAAAGAUGGCAUCUUUAAACAUUGAUUGAGGACAGUUUAUAUCUUUAAUCAAGCUAAUUGACAUAAAUUAGUAGUAUAAUAUAAUGGCGUAUUAGAUCAGAUGAGCAACCUCACCAAACUCAACGGUCAAAUUUCCCAUGCCAUAUUGCUUGCAUCUGAAAGAUAUAAAAUUCACCAUACUAUAUUUUUUUAAUGUACGAGGUUAGGAGAAAUACUCAACGACUUUGUUUGAAUCGGUUUAGCCAAACCACAACAAUCAUUUUCUCAAAACAUUUAGCGUAUAAAACAAAUAUUCAUAUGUAUUCAUAUAUAACAAAACAAAUAUUCAUAUAUACUACUCUUAUAUAUUUUAAAUAUUAGGAUUUGUAGCUUAGUGUUUGUAUUGUAUGGUCGUCAUGGAUUCAAAUCCAAUAAUAUAAAGUGUAGUUGACAGAAAAAUAUGCAUAUCUAUUAGAACAAAAGAACAAAACUCGACUGUAUAUAUAAAAUUCGGUGUGCCUAGUGUUUUUACAACUUUUAUAACCAGAUUAUCAAAAUUUGAUAGUUUUGAUCAUUUAUAAUAUCAUUUUAGAUCAUUAGGUUAAGAACUUCGUCUGAAUUUUCCUUUUGAAAAAGUAAAAGAGGUUGGUGCCAACUUGACGAAUGUCGACUAAGUAACAGUAAAAUUCAAAGACUACGCAAUCUGCCGGCCAUGCAGGCUCAGGGAAAAAAUCUGCCCCGGGAAAACACGUGUCGGAAUCAAAUUUGCCAAGUAAGUAUUGAAGCUUCUCCAUAGGUAACUGCGACCCAACGACCUUUAACCGCAACGUGGGGCUUGUGUCCGACACGCGUCUCCUUAGGCCUCAAAACUAGACUUUAGACCUAAACCUUAUUUAAGUCUGAUGGACAAUGAUGACACAUCAUUGGUUUUCUCGUAAUUGCCGAACUUUCUUUCAAACAAUUUAUGUUUAGACUGGAACAUUAAGCUUCUACAUAGACUAGUCGUUAGAACUAGGUAAAAUAUAUGUUACAUUUCUUUCAAACUUGAUGUUGAGUUAUGUGUUUAAUGGAUUCUCAUACGGUGGAUUUGGCGCAUGGUUUUGAAAUAAAUUAAAACAGAAGAAUCCAUUAAAAACAUAUAUAACUCAACAUCAAGUAUGAAAAUUAAUGAGAUCGGGCAUUGAUCAUUAUCAAGAAAAGCAUUUUGUAUUAAUGUAUGAUGUGGAAACUCCAACGACAUAUUGGUAAGAUUUCAAUUCAAAGUUACAAAACAAAUAUGAGAUAAUUAAUCAAACUAGCUUUACUAGGACAAUAUAUUGUCUCCUUGCCAAAGCUCUCCCAACCACCUACUAAAGUAACAAACUAUAUUUCAGUUACUCUUUUUUUUUCUUCUUAUUCCUAUCAAUGAUAUAGUUCACCAACAUUAUACAUUUGGGAGUCACACUACCCAAAAAAAAGAGCAGUAAACAAAUUUUUUAUUUGACAAUAACAGUAAACUAAAAUUUGAUACAAAAAAAUUUCGUCUUAUAUAUAUUUACAUAAGAUUUGAAAGUGAUGGUUGCUGCCUUGCUGGUAUAGAGCUCGACGAAUGUAGGGGACAAAAUUUAUAAGUUUUAAACACGAGAAAAAAAUAUAAAGCUUUCACGUGGCAGGAUGUAUUUGCCUACUGUCAACUUCAAAAACCUGGCAACUGCUAUGCAGUUUCAGAAGACACGUGUCAUGUGUCACACGCGCUUCGUGUUUUUUUCUCUUCGAUUUUUUUUUGUAAUAUGGGACCCACAUAAUUCAAAUCAUCGACUGCUAUCUUUUUUUUCAUCAGCUCACACGUCAAUACGUCAUCCUAUUGCUUGCCGCCACGUCCCAGAGAAUUUUCCGCAAAAAGAUGAGCUUCUCUCCUUUUUUUUCUGUUUAAAUAGGGUUUUUUUUUUUUCAUCAUUGUUUAGUUAGGUUAUUUUAAUUAUUUGUUUAUUUCUCCCUCUGUUUCAUAUUAUAUGAUGUUUUAGACAUUUUGUUUUGUUUCACAAUAUAACAUGUUCUAUAAAAAAAAAUACAAGUUUCUAUGUCAAAAAUUAAACUCAUUCAAUUUUUUGACUAUUAAUAUUCAGCAGUAAUUUUUAUCAUUGGUCAAAUUAUUUUUAGUUAGAUAUUAAGUUAUGUUUUCAAUGUAAAAAUAUACUAACCAAAUAAAUAUUAAUUGCUUUCUUAAAUUUGUGAUUUUAUUCAAAACAUCAAAUAUUUUGAAACAGAAAAAGUAAUAAUUUAAUACUAAUAUGAUCUAAAACCCAUAUUAUUAUGUAGGCACAAUGAUAAGAUUCACUAGUAAAAGAUGUGAUUUUCGAUAGUCACGCUUUACUACUGCACUACUAUGCUAUAUAUACGUCACAUCCUUGCAUUUUAGUAAUUUUACUACAUUUAUAAAGUAUUUUUGACAAAAUAUUGUUUUAGAAGUUCACAAUUUUUUGGGGACAAUUAUUCGUUAUAUAUGUAGAUUAAUUAGCUCAACUCGUCUCUAUAUACCAAAAGUAUAGAGUUUCGUUUCGACAAGACUUCUAUACAAAUUCGAUCUCAAGUCUCCAUUUUGUACCAUUUAUAUUUUUAUUAGCUACAUUUUAGUAGAAAUUCAUAUCAUUGAUCAUGUUAUGUUUUCAGUAUAAAAAUUAUGGUGAACGGGGACCUAAACCUUCAAUGGCAAAUCUGUCUCAUGAUGAUGAUGAUCCAUCCAUGAUUUUGUGGUAAGAUUGUAAAAAUUGAGUCAAUUUUUUUUUUAUUAAUCAACAACUUUAACUAAUUUUCUUCAAAAGAGCAUUCCUAGGGAAUGUUAUAAAAAUGAGUCAAUCCAUAAAAUAGAAUUGUAAUAAUACUAUAAGGAAAAAAAGAAAAAGAAAUUAUUACGAAAUUAGUAUUCAAUAAAUAUCAUCAUCACAUUACAUAAACAUUAUGUUCUACGACGUAACAGUUUAAGCCCAAAUUACAACUCUCGAUCCUACUUAAACGCAGUAAAUGAAUGUUGACCAAAAAACAAUCUUGGGUCAAGACAUAAGUAAAGAAUGUAAACACGUGUCGAAUAUCGAGGAAGAAAACAGGUUAGAGAGGGGUCAACAUUUUUAAAUGUUAGAGAAGUGGUCCCCAGUUUUCCAAAAAACCCCAUCUACGUACUUGUGUGUCACUGGACACCAUUCCUGAUUAAUUUUAUAUUUGAAAACGUUAUGUUUUUGUUUAUUUCUAAUAGUUGAAAAAUUUUCUAACGUAAAAUUUGUUCCCCGAAAAAAUAAUAAAAAAUGCAAGUGUAUAGUUCACUCGAAUUUGACAUGUCCAAUAUAUAAUCUAUGUUAAUUUCUGUUUUUAUAGUUUAUUUUGUUUUUGUUUCAACCGGAAUUCUAUAUAUAAAAUUUGAAAUAUCAAUUAUACAAAUAUUCAUAUUCAAAUAAAAAGCUCUAAAAGACAAAACCAAAGAAUUCACAAAGUUUAUAAAGACAUCAAUCUCAACUCAGAAAAAACAAAUCGAAUGGAUAAAACCAUUACAAAGAGCAAAAAACAACAUUUGCAUACAUGAAUUCAUAACAAAAGAAAAUUAGCUAAAUAACCGUUUACAGGAAAAGCUAAUGAUAAUUUACCACUUCAUGCUUUCGAUUUUCUGAUAUAAAUACCGUUUUUGCCUUCUAACGUCUUGUUUUCGCAUAUCCGUACAUGAUUUAUGCAACUUAGUAAGUUACUAUCAUCAUAUUAUUAAUUGUGUGGAUCAAACUUACACAUUGUUUGUGAUGCUUUUGAUUAGUAGUAGUUAGUAGUUACUAUUCAUUUGGAUAUUUUUGUUUUUUGCUGAGAAAAUUACUAAUAGUUGUAGAGAAAAACAUGUAUCCAAUGAUUUGUAUAAAAAUAGUCGUUGUGUUGUCACCCGAUUUAAUUUGUGAUAUUAAUUAACAGUGAAUAAUAAUUUAAAAAAUUAUAAUCUAAAGAAUUGCAUAUAAUUUUAGUUACUUUUAUUUUAAAUUCACAAAAUCCCAAUGUGUCAAACAUUGGGGAAUGAUGUUCACUUUUAUUUUAUUCACAAAAUGCUGCUUAUCAACUAAGAAAAUUAUAAUGUGUCAAACAUUAGAUGGUGAUAUUUAGAAUAUUAUAGAUAUAAAAUCAGUUUUGAACUGCCUCAUAAGUCAUAAGAUUACACGAUUGUAAAUCAUUGAAUAUUCCGGACACCUGUCAAGAUUAAAACCAUGAAUAAGUAAGUAUUCAAAUUCAUUUUCGUCAUCUCAAUUGUAAAACUAGGUAACAUAUCCUUAAAAAUCUUUGAAUAUUAAAACACCAUAUGAAAUGUCUUAAAUAUAUCUAUUCUAAAACUCUGACUGUUUGCAGCAUAAAAAAGGGGGGAUGAAACAAAUGGAACAAACACAGAAUAAAAAUGCUAGACCAGACAAGUAAAACAAACGAAAUAGAACAAGUGUUAAAAUGAUUUAAGUAUUAACUUACAAAUUUUGAACAUACUUUUUUUUAAAAUAAGGAAUUGUUCUAAUUAAAAAUUAGCAUAUGUAGCCUCAAAUUGUUUCUAAGACGUUUUGUCGAAAAACAAUUGCUUCUAAUACGUAUUACGCACCAACUUUAAAUUUAUAGUGACAUAUUCUACUAAUUAUCACCUUUUUCUCUUAUGUUUCGUAGUCGCAGAUAGUCAGUUUUUUCUAGAAUAAGUUGCCAUUAGACACACCAAACUUUACAAACGAUGAUAUAUACCGUAUUGUCACGCUCACCAAAAAAACAAACGCGAUGAAUCAUCAUCACUAGACUAAAACACCAAAUUAAUUUUCACUCAGGUAAAAAGAUUAAUUUUUUCCAACCUUUUUAAUUGAAUUGAUUAGCUGUGAAUUGUGAUGACGUAAUUAGUUGUGAUGGCAGUGAUGACGUAAUUAGUUGUAGUUUAUAUAGUAAAACAAAUAGAAAUGGUAAAGUAAAUUUCCACAACAAAAUUUGGUAAAAAUCUAUAAAAUAAGAGGUUUAGAGAUCGCAUGUUAUAUUGCAUAUGUAAUAAAGUUAAUUAGUUGUGAUGACAGAGAUGACGUAAUUAGUUGUAGUUUAUAGUAAAACAAAUGGAAAUGGUAAGGUAAAUUUCCACAACAAAACUUCGUAAAAAUCUAAAAAAAAAAAAAAGGUUUAGAGAUCGCAUGCGUGUCAUCAAAGGUUCUUUUCACUUUAGGUCAGAGUUGUGUUAGAAUUUGAUUGGCACACGUAAGUGUUUCCUAUCGCGAUUUAGGAGAAGUACCAUUACACGUGGCUAAAAUCAACGGUCAAGAUUUCUUCGUCCAGAUAGAGGAGCGAUACGUCACGCCAUUCAACAAUCUUCUCUUCUUCAUUCCUUCCAUUUGAUUUUGAGUUUUGAUCUGCCCGUUCAAAAGUCUCGGUCUGCCCGUAAAAUAAAGAUGAUUUAUUUAUUUAUAUCUUCUGCUAAUAUAAAGCUUCCAUGGCUAAUCUUGUUUAAGCUUCUCUUCUUCUUCUCUGUCCUGUGUCUCGUUUACUAGUUUUUUUUUCUCGGGGGAGAGUGAUGGAGUGUGUUUGCUGAACAGUUUCGACGAUCGCAUGGCUGAGAUUUGUUACGAGAACGAGACUAUGAUGACGAAAACGACGGCGACGGUGGUGAAGAAGACGACGACGACAACGAGGAGACGAGAACGGAGCUCUUCUCAAGCAGCGAGAAGGAGGAGAAUGGAGAUCCGGAGGUUUAAGUUUGUUUCCGGUGAACAAGAUUUCGUCGACGGUGAAUUACAGAAGCGGAGGAGACGGGAAUCCACCGUCGCAGCCUCUGCCUCCGCCGUGUUUUACGAAACGGCGAAGGAAGUUGUCGUUUUAUGCGAGUCUCUGAGUUCUACGGUUGUGGCAUUGCCUGAUCCUGAAGCUUAUCCUAAAUACGGCGUCGCUUCCGUCUGUGGAAGAAGACGAGAAAUGGAAGACGCCGUCGCUGUACAUCCGUUUUUUUCCCGUCAACAGACGGAAUAUUCCUCCUCCGGAUUUCACUACUGCGGCGUUUACGAUGGCCAUGGCUGUUCCCAUGUACGACGCCGUUUAAUUAAAAAAUUAGCCUUAAUUGACUGUUACGACGUCGUUUUUAUUGUUUAAUAAUAUGUUUAGGUAGCGAUGAGAUGCAGAGAAAGACUACACGAGCUAGUCCGUGAAGAGUUUGAAGCUGAUGCUGACUGGGAAAAGUCAAUGGCGCGUAGCUUCACGCGCAUGGACAUGGAGGUUGUUGCGUUGAACGCCGAUGGUGCGGCGAAAUGCCGUUGCGAGCUUCAGCGGCCGGACUGUGACGCGGUGGGAUCCACCGCGGUUGUGUCUGUUCUCACGCCGGAGAAAAUCAUCGUGGCAAAUUGCGGUGACUCACGUGCCGUUCUGUGCCGUAACGGGAAGGCCAUUGCUUUAUCCUCCGAUCAUAAGGUUUUGUUCGUUUUCUGAUAAUCUCUCUUCUUUUGUUUAUUCAUCGUUAAAUUUUUAUCCGUUAUUUCUACGGUUAUGGUUUACUCACUGUAAUGGAAACGAGAAUUUCGUUACGUGUCGCGUUCGAAACUUACCUAUCGAUAUUGUUUAAUGCAUUUUUUUCUUAAUAUUUAAUGAGUUUUUAAUUAUUAUUUAAUUUUUUGAAAUUCGAAUUUUGUUUAAUGGGCAUGCAACACCUGGACGGCGAUUAAGAAUGUUAAUGACUUUAUAGAUUAGAGGAUCUGAUAAAGUUUCUGAGUUGUAGAUUCUUUAAUCCGCCGUGUCACUGUUAUCAAUAUGACUCUAUUUCUUUCCUCUUCUUUUAAAUCAACCAGCCCGACCGUCCGGACGAGCUAGACCGGAUUCAAGCAGCGGGUGGUCGGGUUAUCUACUGGGAUGGCCCACGUGUCCUUGGAGUACUUGCAAUGUCACGAGCCAUUGGUCAGUUAAUUGAUUACACUUGACGAAACUAAUGUUUGCACAAAGUUUUUCCAUACGUUCAAUAAUGAUGAUAAUUAAAUCUCGUUUCGCCGCGUUUUUUUUUUCUUUUCAGGAGAUAAUUACUUGAAACCGUAUGUAAUCAGCAAACCGGAGGUAACCGUGACAGACCGGGUCAACGGAGACGAUUUCCUUAUUCUAGCAAGUGACGGUCUUUGGGACGUUGUUUCAAACGAAACUGCAUGUAGCGUCGUUCGAAUGUGUUUGAGUGGAAAAGCCAAUGGUCAACUAUCAACCUCACCGGAAAGGGAAAUGACAGGUGUCGGCGCCGGGAAUGUGAUGGUCGGAGGAGGAGAUUUGCCGGAUAAAGCGUGUGAGGAGGCUUCGCUGUUGCUGACGAGGCUUGCAUUGGCUAGACAAAGUUCGGACAACGUAAGUGUUGUGGUGGUUGAUCUAAGACGAGACACGUAGUUGUUUCUUCUCUCUCUCUCUCGUAAUGGUUGUUUUUUUGUCCUGAGUCAUCGACUUUUGGGCUUUCUCUUUUAACCUUUUUUGCUCUUCGGUGUAAGACAUCGAAGGGUUUUUAAUUUAGCUUGAUUUUGGGCUAUGUCACUGUAGUGAAUCGCGGUUUAGAUCUACAAAGAUUUUCACCGGUAGUGAAAAUGGUAAAAGCAGUGAACUUUUGUAACUGCACAUGUGAAAGACUGAGUUUGGUUAGUUUCUGAGUUUCCUUAACCCUACUAGUCUCCUUAGUAAUUUAGAUGGUAAAUCCGAUCAUAUUAGAAUUAUAUGAAAAAUAGAAACAAAAAUGUGAUGUUCAAUCAGUUGAUCAGAACAAAUCUAUUUUUUAAGUUUAAUUAUAGCUAUAUAUAGGAAGUUUUAUAGGAAUCUUCGAAAUGUCAAGACUGAUAUUUUGAAGAAUAGAAAAAAAAAAAAAUUCAAGUUGAUUGUACAUAACAAGGCAAACAAUUGGAAUAGAAUACUUCAAAAGCUAGUUGGAAGGAUUAAAACUUAAUAACAUUCCUUUUCUUAUUAUGUAUAAAGAUUUAUUUUUUGCCAACAUAAUCUAUACAACAUUUUUAUAUAAUUGUUCAUGAAAUGUGAUCAAGAAUCACGCCAAGACAAGGAUAGAAGCGGGUGUGGUUCACACACUCUCAUGUGACAUACAAAAUAUUCCGAUCAUUAAGACUGAAAUUUGAGUUUUUCUUUUGACACACAAAGGUGUGAUAAUUUCCAACCGCCGCAGUUGGAAGUAAACUGUUUUGGAAGUCAAUAGUCAAAAGAAAUGGUUAGACGAAUCAGUUGGAGAAGAAAAUUGAAGAAGGCGAUUGGAAGAAAAAUAAAAGGAGUUGAUUUCGAGACAAACACUACAAAAACAGAUGAAUUAAUUGCAUUUAUUUGAUGAGUGAUAUGCUUUCUCCAAUAUUUUGGAUGAGUUUUUUUUUUUGGUGUGAAAGAGGGAGAAAUCUCUCAUUAUUUAUUAUAAAAAAUCAAAGUCAAAUACAAACUUGCCGUGAAAUGGCAGUACCACGAAUAUCGUCUAAAGCAAUAGAAGCAACACAACUAGGAAUAGAUUCAAGUAAAUGAAAACCUAACCGAAGAGAGAACGCAUAGUUUGCCAACCCGUCGGCGAGACGAUUAGCUUCCCUAUACACAUGUGAAAUACGGACAAUCCAGUCCCUUGCGAUAAAGCCGUGGCACAAACGUACCAGGAAAGACAAGCGAUGAGCAUCGCUUAUCCCUGUCGUUAGAAAACCCACUACCAUCUCCGAGUCUACAUCCACUUCUACACGUGUUGCCCGUCGCUCCCAGGCAAAGUAUAGAGCGUAGUAAACUCCCCAAAGUUCCGCCAUCGGAGCCGAACAAACUCCUAUAUGCAACGCAAAUCCCACCAUCCAGCUUCCAGUCAUGUCCCGCAGCACACCUCCAGCAGUUGCUUUACCCGGGUUCCCGUGUGACGCGCCAUCAGUGUUAACUUUUACCCAGUCCACGAGAUCUGCCUCUCCACAUGACUUGGCUUCUCUCGCGACUGUCGUUGGGAUUGGUGAGCCUCCGUCACCUCCUUAGCGAGAUCCUUGACAAACCGAACUCUAUCCCGACAUUUACCAUUCCCACCAAAUACGUUCCCGCACCUCCACUUCCAACCCCACCAUAAGGCCAUACUAAAUAGUGUUGACCAGUCUCCACUGUCCACUGUUAUUCCUCCACUUAAGUUCCCCCACAACCAUUCAAGAAGAGUCAUAGAGAAGAAAGUAUGCCUUAACCUCGCUGGGAUGAUGCGAGUCCAGAUUCCCUGCAUGGCUGGGCAAUCCCGCAAAAUGUGAAGGGUAUCCUCCUCCCCACUUUUACAAACUUGACAGAUUGAUGAAUCACAAAGAUGUCUCCUGAAUCUUUCCGCAUUAGACAUAACGGCAUGAUUCCCGACUAACCACAAGAAAACUCUAACUCUCUCUGGAACUACAACUCGCCAUACUUGUGCCCAGAAUUUUUCCAUGUCAGGUCGCAGGUUUUCAUCUCUAGAAACCAGUUGGUAAGCAGACCUGACCGUAAAUUUCCCCUCCGAGUUCUCACCCCAGCUAACUCUGUCCUUCGCACCUGUGACGCUAUCCACUACCAAAGCCCCUAACCGGAGGCGUGUAUCAUUGGAAGUAAACGGAGUAAUACGAUCCAGUUUCCAACCCACUCCGUCCUGCCAUAAACUCUUUACCAAUUCGUUCUCCCGCUCCGCUGGUAACUCACCCUCCACAAGCUCAAUUAGAGGUUUAUGCAUUAACCAUCUAUCCUUCCAGAAUUUAAUUUCUUUACCAUCACCUAACACCCAGCUCUGACCCGGGAAAACUACUUCUCGAAUUCCCAAGGCCACGCUUCUCCAGGUCGAUGACCAGUUACUAGAUGGCUUAGUCCAUGCCGUGUUAUGCAUAUCCCCAAUCUUAUAUUUGCAUCUUAACACCUUGGCCCAGAGACUUGUGCGAUCCUGUAACACUCUCCAACCCACCUUUGUUAGCAAGGCCUUAUUCAUCUAUGCUGCCUGCUUAAUACCAGCUCCUCCCUCACUCUUUGGUAGACACACUCUUUUCCAAGCGAUAAGGUGUUGUCUCCAAGAUAUAUUUCGUAAUUUUUGCUUUUGGUAGUUUAUUGUAGUAAUUUAAAUCUCAAGAUAAAUCAUUAAAUUGUAUAGCAUGCUCUUCUAGGAUUAGAUUUGUUGAUGUUACUUAUGUAAACUUUGAGUGGUUGAAAAAAAAACAUUCCACAUUCAUAACAUAUCAAUCAUAUUCAAAGCUAAACCACAUUCCUUAAGUUUCCAACCUUUGACCUAUGACGCAUCAAAGCAUAGUGCAAAGUUAUAAAAAUAGUUAAGUUCUUGAAAUAGAAAGAACUUCUUUGGGUCAAAAAACUGAAAACAAAUUGCAUAUCGAAUCUCAUGAUGAUGUACAUUCGUUCAAAGCUUUUGAGAUAUGCUCCAUAGUGUAUAUUACCACCUAAGUGAAUCUCGUUAGUGGCAUGCAUGAGCAUAAAGAUGCUUAUAGUGGACGAGUUUCCAAGAUAAUCAUCCUAUAUUAUCAAUCAAAGUUAGAAUUUGGUAGUCUCCGACUACAUAUAAGACCUUCCUCCGUCCUUCGGGACCAACAAAUUAAAGGGUGAUAGACCAAAUCACCAAAAUAUAACUGAUUUUUUAUAGCGUUUAUUCUCAUAAUAACAUCACCAAUAUAAAGAGAAAACAUGGAAAAGUGAACAACGUCCUCGCUAAUAAGCCCAAAUUGACUCUCCAAUAAGCCCAACCCAGACGUUACGGUUUGUCGCCGGCGAUUACCCUCUCCGACAUUCGAAUUUGCCGAGGAAUCAUCUAGUGCAGAAGGAAUCAUACCAUGGACUCGCACCACGCGUCUCUAGGUCGCCGGACUGUAAGCAUAUAUCCGUUGUCGCCGUCUUCAUCUUCGUCUGACGACGGUUUCUUACAUCGGUGUUUUCGUUGGUUUCUGUGAUCUUGUAGUUGGAAGAGAUUCGUCAAAAGAGAGCUGCUCAAAGGCUAAGCAAAACUUCAUCAGGCCCAGAUCUUAGCGAAAUUCCAAAUCCUGCCGGUAAUUUCAUUGUUUUUGAUCUCUCUAUUUUCCCCUAGCUUUGCAAUUUUGAUUGUUUCAAUGUCUUGCAGAUUUCCCAGUGAUCAGAAAAUCUGAGAGUGGAAAUCGGCUUUCUGAGGUAACAUUUCUCUGAUAUUGUGUGAUCUAAUUGGGAUCCUUGAGAACUGCGACGAUCGUGAUAAUGAGAAUGCUUGAAUUGAGUUUUGUAUUGGGUUUUACUGAUAUUAUGAUCUUGCUGGUCAUGGUUUGUUUUGAAUUACAUCCACAGACAGAUGUUGGUGCUUUAUAUUCCCAGCUUAAAGAACUGCAGAAGAAGAAUGCAGAUAUGGAGGAGCGCAACAAGAUAUUGUCCUCAAAGGUAUUAGUUACCUCUUUGCCUUGCUAGUUAUCAGAUCCUAUGUUUUUAUUUUGAUUAAACUGUAUUCAUGAUGUGUUUUUUUUUGUCUGUGGGAUUCAGCUUCAAACAAAGGAAGUUGAGAAUGAAUCACUUGAGACUCGGUUGAAUGUGCUGGUAUGUAACAAGUAAACUUCUAUUUGUGAUGUUAUCCAUUCCUGGUUUGUGAGGCUUGACAUGGAAUAUGAAAAAUGAUUCAAGAUGUCUUGACAUAUGCCCUUGUGGAUGAAUAACAGGAACAAAACACAGUGCCAUCUCUGAGAAAAGCCCUUAAGGAAAUUGCAAUGGAGAAAGAUGCUGCUGUUGUUUUACGAGUAGGGAGUACACUUGUUUUAGUUCUUUUGGUGCAAAAAUUAUCUCCUCCUUGAUUGCAUGUUUGAUUGGCGUAGCUAUUGUUUAUAGGAGGAUCUCUCAGCUCAAGUUAGGACUCUUAAGAGACGUGUUAAAGAGGCAGAGGAGGAACAAUAUCGAGUAUGGAACAAUUUUUUGCCUUCCAAAUUUAAAUUUCCCUUUCUUCUUUAUUUAGAGAUACCAUAACCCAUUGUUGAUAGGCUGAGGAAGAUGCGGCAUCUCUGAGAGCAGAGCUUAACUCGAUACAACAGCAAGCAAUGGGUACUUCGUUUACUGGCCUGUCGCCAAUGGGAGUUUCCUCAGACCAACUACCAAUAUUAGAAAAGGAGAUGGCUAACCUAAAACUAGAAUUACAGGUUUAAAUUAUUUUGAAACAGAUAAUAGGUUCCCCGUGAGAGUCUAUUUAUCUAAGAUAAUAAUGUUCUUAACGUACACAGAAAGAAUCAGUGUUAAGGCAGCAAGAACAACAGCGUUUAGCUGAAGAACAAACUCGAGUAGCUUCUUUAAUGUCUGAAAAGCAGGAACUGGAACAGAAGAUUUCAGUUUUAUCUAGCAGGGCCUCAGGUAACAUGCAAUGACACAGAAUUCUUUUUUUUUCGGAAGCAAGUUUGUAGUUGCAGGUGUUACAAUCAGCAGGUGUUUGAAAGCACUAGCUGACGUCUAAAUGCUUUUGAGUCAUUCAGAUAUUUUUUUACCGACUUGUGCAUUGUUGGAUACAUAUCAAUGACUUUUUCGGUGGUAUUUAUUAUGCAGAAGUAUCAGAGUCUGGUCAAAAGGCAUUGUCAGUGGUAAGAAAAUGUUAUAACCCAUUUUGCCACUUGCAAGCAUAUCAGCGUUCACGUUUUAUGGAAUCCCUUAGUUUUAGGUUUGAUGGUUUUCAUGUAGGAAGAUAAAGAAAAACUCGAGAAGCAGUUGCAUGAUAUGGCUGUUGCACUUGAAAGAUUAGAGAGUAGUAGGCAAAAACUUCUCAUGGAGAUUGACAACCAAUCAUCUGAAAUAGAGAGGCUUUUUGAGGAGAACUCGAACCUCUCGGCUUCAUAUCAAGAAUCAAUCAACGUAUCAAAUCAGUGGGAGAAUCAAGUAAGCGUCUCACAUUUAUUUUUGCUUUAGAAACAUUUUCUUGGACUUUAUGUUGAUUUGUAGCAAACUGCAUAGGUGAAAGAAUGUCUGAAGCAAAACAUAGAACUCCGUGAAGUUCUGGACAAGUUAAGAACAGAACAAGCCAGUGCUCUUUCACGAAAGUCUUCAGAAAUUGAGGCAAAUGGGUCGCACUCGCAUGGAACUGAAACUCUAUCCCUCAAGGUUUUGGUCCUCACCAACUAUUAAAAUAGAAAAUUCAACACAACUAGUGUUUGUGUGGUUACAUUCCGCAUUUGUUUUUUCCAGGGUGAACUUGCAAAAGAACAGAGCAGAGUGGAAUCAUUAUCUGCUCAAGUUCUCCAACUCUCAGCUCAACUUCAGCAAGCAACACAAGCAUACAAUGGGCUUAUGCGGGUGUAAGUGUCACAUGGGACUUUCUUCAAUCUAUUGAGAUUCUAUCGUAUUGUUAAUUUUGUUUUCUAUUGCGAUUUCUUGCAGCUAUAAACCUGUGCUUAGAAACAUAGAGAGUAGCUUAAUCAAGCUGAAGCAAGAUGGAUCGGUUACAGUGGCACAGUGAAUGAGGAACCAAGGGCACACUUCUGAGUAUUGAAUAUAUAUUUUUAUACAACAAAUGUCUGCUUAGAACCAAGGGGACAAGUGAAGUUAACACAUUUUUCUUUAUCGAAAAAUUUGGUUCGUUUUGUAAUGUCUAUUGAAAGCUUCGGUUUGUUUUCCUCAAGUUUGAUUUUGCCAUUUUGGUAGGUUUGUUUAUAUCGGUUUAUUUCCGGAUCAAGAGUACCGGAAAGAGAAUUGGAAAGUGUCCUAAUCGAGGUGAGACUAAACCGAAUUUCUAAAUCUCGGUUCGGCUACAAUAGACACUGUUGGUAUUUUCUCUUCCUCAACGAACUGGGCUUUUUGUCGCAGGCCCAUUAAACUUGGAUUGGGCUAAUUAUAACCGUAUGGCUAAAAUUCUAACGGUUUAGAAUCUUCAUUUGAGCGCGAAAUGAUUUCCUCCUUGGCGGCGAUCACCGGAGGGCCAUCAACAUUCCGGCGUGAUCCCGAUGCAAAUACUCUCAGGCUAGCCCGCAGGAAAACAUUAAUCUCUUUAUUACGAAACUGCAAGAACAAUGCCCAAGUUCCAUCGAUUCACGCCAAGAUCAUUAGGACCUUCCAUGACCAAGAUGCUUUCGUUGUUUUCGAGCUUAUCCGUGUCUGCUCCACUCUUGAUUCCAUCGACUACGCUUACGACGUGUUUCGUUAUGUAUCGAACCCUAAUGUGUAUCUGUACACCGCCAUGAUCGAUGGUUUUGUGUCAUCUGGUCGCUCCGCUGAUGGAGUUUCGCUGUAUCAUCGGAUGAUUCACAGUUCGGUUUUGCCUGAUAAUUACGUGAUCACCUCCGUUUUGAAAGCUUGUGGUUUGGAUGAAUGUAGAGAGAUUCAUUCCCAGGUUUUGAAACUUGGGUUCGGGUCUAGCAGAUCGGUGGGGCUAAAACUGAUGGAAAUCUACGGGAAAUCUGGGGAAUUGGCUGAUGCUAAGAAGGUGUUCGAUGAAAUGCCUGACAGAGAUCAGGUUGUAGCAACAGUCAUGAUUAAUUGUUAUUCUGAAUGUGGUUGUAUUAAGGAGGCAUUAGAGCUGUUUCAAGAUGUUAAGAUCAAAGAUACGGUUUGUUGGACUGCGAUGAUUGAUGGGUUGGUUAGAAACAGGGAGAUGAACAAAGCAUUGGAGCUUUUUAGGGAAAUGCAGGUGGAGAAUGUUAGUCCUAAUGAAUUCACAGCUGUCUGUGUUUUAUCUGCCUGCUCGGAUUUGGGUGCGUUGGAGCUCGGGCGCUGGGGUACAUUCGUUUGUUGAGAACCAAAAAAUGGAGCUUAGUAAUUUCGUAGGAAAUGCUUUGAUCAAUAUGUACUCCAGGUGUGGUGAUAUCAAUGUGGCAAAGCGGGUUUUCAAGGGAAUGCGAGACAAAGAUGUCAUUUCAUAUAACACGAUGAUUUCUGGAUUAGCAAUGCAUGGAGCUAGCGUUGAAGCUAUCAAUGUAUUUCGGGAUAUGGUGAACAGAGGAUUUAGGCCGAAUCAGGUGACUUUAGUUGCUCUUUUAAACGCAUGUAGCCAUGGAGGUUUGCUGGAUAUAGGACUUGAAGUUUUUAAUUCUAUGUGGAGAGUUUUCAGUGUUGAACCACAGAUUGAGCAUUAUGGAUGUAUUGUCGAUCUUCUUGGUCGAGUGGGGAGACUAGAGGAGGCUUACAGAUUCAUAGAAAAUAUGCUGAUAGAACCGGAUCAUAUCAUGUUAGGAGCUCUUCUGAGUGCUUGUAAGAUCCAUGGAAACAUGGAACUCGGUGAAAAAAUCGCCAAGAGACUAUUCGAAUCUGAGAAUCCAGAUUCUGGGACAUACGUUCUCCUAUCGCAUAUAUACGCUUCAUCAGGGAAAUGGAAAGAAUCUACAGAAAUCAGAGAAAGUAUGAGAGAAUCAGGGAUUGAGAAGGAACCUGGAUGCAGUACUAUCGAAGUGGACAACCAGAUCCAUGAGUUUCAUGUGGGAGAUAUAGCACACCCUCGUAAAGAAGCAAUUUAUCAGAGAUUACAAGAACUGAAUCGAAAUCUUAGAUUCAAAGAGAAUGAAACAGAUAUUAUAACGGGUUUGUAGUGACAUAUACACAUUGUUCUCAGGGUAAGUAUGUCAUAAGUCCCUCAAAAUUUUGUCUCUUCUUCUCUUUGUUUUUGAUGAUACAAGAAAAGAAAAUUAGUAAAACGCUAAAAGGAGUUUCUAUGGCUGGAUUGAGUAAGCAACGAUUGGGCUUCUGACACUGUGACUCCCAUCAGACCAAACCACAGACGAACUUAGAAUACUUCCAUCCCUUAGUUCUUUACCAGAGAUGGUCACAACAAACGUUUUCUUCUCCUUCAAGAAACCGAAUCUCAGUAUUUCUGGUUCUAUGCGAAUCUGAAUAUCUGGUUGGAGAGGAACAACACUUGCCUUGUACGUAGAGUUUGGGAUUCCAACAUUAGUAACGGUUCUUUUAAAUGUGACAUUGAAUGGAUCAAGAGCAGAGACAAACGUAGUCAUUGUUGGGUAAUUCAGAUUCUUGACUUCUGUUCUUUCCGAGCAAGUGACGUUCUGUCCUGAGGUUUUUGUGAGCGACGUUGAAUCAAAACCCUCUGCACAUAACAUUUUGAGGUAAUCGUCUGUUUCUACUUCAUACACAAGUCCUGGGUCGCUUGCUUUGGUCGGGUUAAUUUGGCCUGACCCAUAUGCAAAUUCUUGCUCGGGGUUCUUCUUAAGGUUCAUGGGGGUAGCUGCAAACAUACCAUUGACAAUAAUAUGUUUUUGUAUUCCUCCAACAGUAAGAAAAUCAGAAGAAAGUAUUGUUUUUUUUUGAAAAUUUUACCGGUCGUCAUUAUAGCGGAUUUGAUUGCCGAUGGAGACCAGUCAGGGUGAAAAGACUUGACAUAAGCCGCUACACCUGCCACAUGAGGACAAGCCAUUGAUGUGCCACUCAUAACACUAUACCUCACACUUCUCUUGUCCUCAGGGUUCAAUAAACUUGAAGGAGAAGCUACCGGAGAAAAUGCAGCCAAAAUCUCUAAUCCAGGUGCACUUACGUCAGGCUGCAAAUUAACAUUGAUGUUAUUCCACUAACAUUCGGUUAUAAAACCAACACAAGCUUAAUGAUCUUUGUUCCGGUUGCAUUACCUUCAAGAGGUUCUGAAUGACGAAACUUGGCCCGCGAGAAGAGAAAGAUGGAACAUAAGGAGCUUCUCUAUCAACUGUCUCCUCGGUUCUCAGUAUCUCCGCUUGUGGAGGCCUGCAAAAUUCACUCUUUUAACCUCUCAAGACCGAACAACAAAGCUGUUCAUAUUCAUCACUCUCCUUUUUAUUUACUUACUCUGCAGAUACGAUGUAUGACUUGAUAGAUUUGUAGUCCUCAAAACCAAGAGAAGAGGCAGGAAAUGGAAACACAAAGGCGCUGUCUGGAAACAAUGUGUUUUGAGCAAUGGCUCCAAUGGCUCCAGCUAAGUAAGCUUCUCUAUAUCCUAGGAAGUCAUCACAUAGGACGAUCUUCCCUUUGACCAGGUCGCUGUCGACACACCCACUUGAGCAAAAACUGUCCAUAGCAAUAACCAUUUUAAGCAUCAAUGUGUUUUGAUUCAAGACUCAGAUGGAACGUGGAAUAAUUGAAGAAGAAGAAGACACUUCUUACUCACCCGGCUUCGGCUUGGGAACAUUUUCUAGACACGUUUUGGCCGUAAACGAUCGGGAACUUUGUCCCAUUGAGAUUGAAUGGAUUAACUGAUAUACCCUGUUUAAGAAAUAGAGUAUCAAGACUCUUGAACUUUGUCACUGACUCUGAACUAGGAUGUGAAAUGUCUCUCGUUUUAAUUUAUAAAAAAAAAAGAAAAUGUACCGUUAAUGCUUUUCCGUUACCAAGAACGACUCUGUCAAUGAAACGCCGGUCUGUAGCGCUGGCAGCGACGGUUAUCAUCCACGGUGAUACAUUUGCCACCGAACCUUGAUCAGGCCCAUUGUUCCCAGCUGAACCCGCCGUGAUGAUUCCUCUCAACAUUGCGUGAAAAGAACCAAUGGCUACAGAAGCGUUUAAUAAAUUGGAGACGUAAUCGACUGAGAUUGAGAUCGAGAUAACAUCAACACCAUCGGCAAUGGCAUCAUCAAACGCAGCCAGAAUAUCUACAUCGUUGCAGCGUUUGAAGCAGACUUUAUAGGCGGCGAUUCUCGCCGAGGGAACUCCACCACGAGCCGUACCUUGAGCCAGGCCGUAAAAGCUGGCGGCUUGAACUGCAUUACCAGCAGCCGUCGACGCAGUGUGUGUCCCAUGGCCUUCCUCGUCUCUUGCUGACUCAGAAAAUUUGUUGUAAAACCUAGCUCCGAUGAGUUUGCUUGUAGCACAAGAAAGAUAACCCUAAACGUUUAGUAUCCUUAUAUUAAUACCAUGUCAGGGAAAAUUGAAACAUAUCUAAUCAAAGUAACGUAAACAGAGGUCGAAAUGGUAUGUAUACAGAGCGUUAGAAGUAUACAUACCAUUAGAAGUAAAUAGAGCUCCGAUCCCGACAACAACGGUGAUCGGAGCCCGGAGGUCGAAAUGAAUCUAACUUACUUGUUGCAAGUGAAGUUUAGGCCACCUUUACAAGAACCUUUCCAUUUCUUUGGAGGCGGACCAAAACCUUUGUCGUCAAAGCUCUCAGAUUCCGGCCAGAUUCCGCUGUCUAUCACUCCGACAAUAACAUCACUCUCUUUCACACUCUCUCCUUUUGCUCUCUCGCCAAAUCCGACAAAGUCCCAUGAUCUUGUUGUCGUCAGUUCAUGACUUUUGCUUGGAAACACAGACACUACCUCUUUCAUAUCUGUACAUUCAAAGAUUAUGUUAUUUAGAAAAGUUUCUGACAAUUUUUUUUAUAUUUUUUUUUGUAAAAAAAUUAUGAUUUAUGAAAUACUCACUUUGCAGUUUCUGACUCUCGGCUUGAGAUAGAUUGGCAGCGAAUCCGUUGAAGCUCCUUUUAUAGCUUCUAAUCAACAAAUUCGAUGCAGCACUGAAAGGAAGAACCAGGGACAAAGAAUAAAUCUUGAUCCUUUUAUAAAAAUUACAUAUGUAAAAUAUUGUUUUGAAUACGGUCAAGAAUAAUUAAAGAGGUUGAAUCUUACUUAGUGCCAACAAGUUUUUGGAGCAUACUGAGAUGGUGAGAUGGUGGUGAGUACUCAAUCUCAGGAAGUGUUCCCAUAUACACGAUAUACACCUGCAUACAUGUGUGUAAAAAAAAGAGACAGAGAGAGAGACAAGUAUUAUAAGGUGUUUUGUUCAAAUGUGUAUCUCACAAAAAGAGAGUACAAACUUGAACUUGCCUGUCUAUUAUCAUUUGCAGACACAUCUCUGGUGAACAUGAAUGCUAAACAAAUGAAGAAGAGAGAUGUAGAAAGCUUAGCCAUUUUGUGAAACUCUAAACGAGAGAGCAAAGUUGGGAUUGUGAUUGAGAGGACGAAAUGUGUUAUAUAAAAAUUUAUUUUGAAAAAGCACUUUCAAAUUCAUUGAAUGUGUUAAAAUUGAGAAAUCUUUCAAUGAAUUUAAUUAUUAUAUUUGGCUAAAAAAAUCUAAUUUUUGGUUUGGGUCAAUAUUCCACACAAAUUGAAGGAAUGACCUUCAAUACUCAAUAGUCAAAGAGGUCUUACCAAAAAACAAAUGGGAAAAAUGUCGUUAAAAUCCCCAAUUUAUUCAAAACGUUGAUUUAAAUCCUCAACUCAUGACGAAACGAAAUAAAUAUCAAACUUAUGUUGACUUUCCAAAUAAAUAUUAAACUUAUGUUGACUUUCCAAAUAAACAUCAAACUUUCAUUGACUUUCCAAAUAAAUAUCAAACUUCCGUUGACCUGACCAUAUUAGGUAUGACGUUAAGUGGGUUAAUAAAUCCUCAACUCAUGACAAAACGAAAUAAAUAUCAAACUUAUGUUGACUUUCUAAAUAAAUAUCAAACUUAUGUUGACUUUCCAAAUAAAUAUCAAACUUCCGUUGACCUGGCCAUAUUAGGUACGACGUUAAGUGGGUUAAUAGAUCUCGUUAACGGAGGUAAUUUUCUGUUAACAUAUAUGUUAAUUGAUAACGACAUUGUUUCAUAUAACAACAAAAUGACGUCGUUUUGUCGUAACGAUUGAAUUAAAUCCCUAAAGUCAAUCUUAGAUCCCCAAAUCAAGCAAAAUCCCUAACCCUAAAUAGAGUAUGAUUUGAAACUCGGGAUUUUAUUGAACAUUUACGACAAAACAACGUCGUUUUAUGUUUAGAAGGAAUACUUGUUAGUGUUUUGAUCAACAAACGAACUCUGUUUUAACAGAGUAUGAAGAACAAAACCAAAAUGAAAAAUAGAGUAUGAAGAAACUUGAUCUUUAUUGAUAAGAUAAAAUGUAUUACACACAAUGAUGUUAAUCGAAAAGACACAACUUUACGAACAGAUACAACUAUACGUACGUACAUUCGUGACUCUUACGUAAAUAACUAACUUAUAUGAAUACGACUUUAGGUUAUAUGACUUAGAUGAGAUUUGAUUAUAGUUCAACAAUACUGUCAUUUUUAAUUAGCGGGUCUGUUAACAGAAAAUUAAUCCUGUUAACAUUGUCUGUUAACUCACUUAACGUCAUGCCUAAUAUGGCCAAGUCAAUGAAAGUUUGGUGUUUAUUUGGAAAAUCAACAUAAGUUUAAUAUUUAUUUGGAAAGUCAACAUAAGUUUGAUAUUUAUUUCGUUUCGUCGUGAGUUGAAGAUUUAAAUCAACGUUUUGAAUAAGUUGGGGAUUUUAAUGACAUUUUUCCCAAAUCCUAUUAGGUCUUACCAACUCUCCAUAGCAUAAUCAAAUCUACACUUGGUAAACAGAACCAAAAUGGAGGACUCUACUAUAUAUUUACAUAAACAACAGUUUCAAUAUAUUCCAUGAUAUAUGAAAUAAUAUAACUAUCAAUGAAACAUCCAUUCAAUUUCAAAUUAUACAAUUUUCAUUGAGACAUGUAGAAUUUGUUCCACCACUUGGUACUAUAUUGUUCUCAACCGAAACAGUGAUGACACCAUUUUUGAACAAAUACAAAGUUCACUAAACUGGCAUUUAAGUUAAAUCCCCACAAGCUUGGUUCCAAUCUUUCCGGAUAAAACAGAUCCAAACUUCAACUAUAAUACAACUUUAUCACAAGGCAACAUUCUCUGUAAAAGAAACAAGACCAAAAUCGAAAUCUGCUUGAAACUUUUAUGCCGCUGCAGGAUCGUUUAUGACUCCCAAAAAAUCGUCUUUGAUGGUACCCACACAAAACUGCAAAAUCAAAGACAAAUGUGCAAAUUGAUUAGAAUAAAGCCAAAAAGCACACAACAGCUCAAGCUAACCAUAGAAACCAAGAAAUCUAACUAUAAGUUGAAUUGUGAAUUAGAGAGUUAUGGAGAUUGUGCAUACAAUCUCAGUGGCAUCAACUCUUGUUCCAAUAAUCUUUAGUCUCACUUCACAUUCCUUCUGGAUCUUAACCUGCAAGAAGCAUUGGAAAAAUUGAGUUUCUUGAAGAUAGAUGAAACACAGAUAAUACUGUUGGAAAUAAGAAAUAGAGAAAGAAACACACUGAUCCAUCUGAUGUGGUAUAAUUAGGCAUGUCUCCAGCUUGAAACUCCAUAUCAUCUGGAAUCAACUGUGGUGAUAAAAGAAGAGGAGAGUAAAAGUGAGUACAAAACACCUAGAACAAUAUGAACUCGAGGUCAAAUUCAUGAUGUAAGAUCAUAAGCUUACAUGCUUAGACACAAAAAUCUGAACAGGGCCAGCUUCAGCGAAGAAUCCCAUCUACGAUAUAUUAGGAAAAUCCAUAAGGUUUAAGAGACUGAUUAGUAACUAAAGACAUUGGACUAUAUAAAACUAUAUACAAUACCUUAUUGACCAAAGUGACAACAGCUUCCAAAAUCUCGCCUUUGAAAGGUCUGAAAACAACGCAUUGGUAUUUAACUGGAAAGGUGACAAAACCAGUCCCAUCUCUGAUCAAACCCUUUCCUAUGCUUUCAAUUCCAGUUAUCGCCACUACAAAUCCAUGACGGCCACUGUCCAUACCACAAAACAAAAAGCAUCAAUAUGACAUUGCAAAUGAUGAAUUUCACAUCUUAAAUAUAAACCAAAGACAAAGCUAGAGGCUUCAAAUACUAAUCUCUGUCACAAGCAAUGGAUUAAGCAAACUAUACUAAAGAACAAAGUUUUCGAAUACAAAACAAGAUACUGGAUCUGAAAGACUAGCAAGCAGACAUCUAAGUGAGCUGCGAUGGAUGAACUUUCAUAUCUUAAUCCUAAGAAAGCUAAAGGCUUCAGAACAAAUCCCUUAAGAUUAAAGAUUCUGCUUAAAAAAUCAGACUUUAGUUACAAGCAGCAGAGAAAGACUCCAAAUUUAGCUAAAAGAAGGAUCUUUUUUCGAAUUGAAUCCACUCUAAUCCCUAAAACCUAACCAAUUGAACUAGACGGAGGUUAGGGUUUCGAAAAAAUAUGCAAUUUUUUUUAUAAAGGUGUCUUAUGGAAAACGAAUCCGAAUUGAGGAUUGAGGAAAAGGGUUUCCGAUUAAAGCAUCCCAAAUUGUUGAUUUUCUCUACGAUAAGUGGAAUAGAGAAAAAACCUGCAAGUGCCUUCGACAUCUUUCAUGAGUUUAGAUACGAGGUUUUCACGAAGGUUUCGACCAAAGAAACGAGGAUGCAACUGCAUGUUCCGCUCCAAUACUAUGUGGAAGAACAUCUCGACUUCUCUCUCUCUCUCUCUUGCUCUCUGAACUCUCUCUGUCUCUGAGGCUUGUUAAUGUGUCUUAUUGAGCAAUUUAGUUUUGAGUUCCAAUUCGCUCUGGUUAUAAAACCUGCCCAAUGGUAGUUUUCUGUCAACCGUCGGAUCUCGACAAAUCUGAACGGCCCAGAUUGCUUGAUAAGUUUCCCUUUUUUUAUAUAAUUAAAUUGUUUUCCUUUUUUCCUAACUCUUUUUUUUUUCUUGACCAAUUACGUUUUAAUUUUGUUUUUUUAACGCACUUAACAAAUUCAGAACUAAAUAAUGAGAUUUGAUGCGUAUUUAAUUCUUAAUCAUGUUGCUGUAAUGAAAUCAUAUUCUUCAAGAAACAGAACAGUUUAUUCUUUAUUUGAUGCAUCAUAAGAAAAAGAAAGAACAUAACAGAAAGAACAGAACAGUUUUUAACUAAGACAGAUACUUAUACACGAAGUCACGAACACGUCCUUGUUUGGUUCUGACUUCUGAGUAACUAUGGAUCAACCGGAGGAUAUCCGCCGUAAGGUGGAGGUGUUAAGUGAUAUGAUGGCGGUGGAUACUUCUUAUAUGGUGGCGACGGAUACACAACCGGUGGAGGAUAUUUCUUGAUCGGGGGAAAAGGGUAAUGUACCGGCGGAGGAGGACAUUCCUUCGGAGGAGGAUACGUCUUGAUCGGCGGAUGAGGGUAAGUCUUGUACGGAGGUGGUGGAUACUUCACCGGCGGAUGAGGGUAAGUCUUGAUCGGCGGUGGAUACUUCACCGGUGGAUGAGGGUAAGUCGGCGGUGGAUACUUCUUGAUCGGCGGUGGAUACUGUUCUGGGGGAGGAUACUUCACCGGCGGAUGAGGGUAAGUUUUGAUCGGCGGAGGAUAUUUCACCGGCGGAUGAGGGUAAGUUUUGAUCGGCGGAGGAUACUUCACCGGCGGAUGAGGGUAAGUUUUGAUCGGCGGAGGAUACUUCACCGGCGGAUGAGGGUAAGUUUUGAUCGGCGGUGGAUGAGGGUAAGUCUCGUACGGCGACGGUGGGUACUUCUUGAUCGGCGGUGGAUAUUGUUCUGGCGGAGGAUACUUCUUGAUCGGCGGUGGAUAUUGUUCUGGCGGAGGAUACUUCUUGAUCGGCGGUGGAUAUUGUUCUGGUGGAGGAUACGUAGUUGGCGGAGGUGUAGGUAAUGAUGAAACCAAUUAGAAAAGGAGUUUGUAGAAGAAGAAGAGGCCAAACACAAACUAAAAAUGCUUCCUUGUGUUACCAACACUGCGAGAGCAAAAGUAGCUACAAAAGACUUCAUUUUUCUUCUUCUUGUUGUUGUGAAUAGCAAGUUAAAAAACGGGUUUUAUAAAUAAACAGAGGACUCGAGACUCUACACUACACAUUGCAGUGACAUUGCCACAUUGCAUAAACCUCACAGCUGGUUUUAAAACCCUAAAUCCAGGAAAGCAAAGUGACAGGCUUUUAGAUCCAUGCACGUCCAAAGUUUGACAGUUUCAUAUAGAACCAGGGCUUUGACCUUUUAGUCAACUUGUAUUCGCUUUUUCGCAGAAUCUCUCCAAUUGUCAAGUAAUUUGCAGCG
This 40801-nucleotide long non-coding RNA is filed under the name Arabidopsis lyrata. RNAcentral's name for it is "long non-coding RNA (ALYR_LNC000670)". Lineage: Eukaryota; Viridiplantae; Streptophyta; Magnoliopsida; Brassicales; Brassicaceae. The record is from RNAcentral.